CCGGCGCGAUUAUUGUUUCCGAUCAACCUGUCAAAUUUUAGCCAAUUUCGAUACAGUUGCGAAAAAUUAUGAAAUUACCCCCGGAGCGAUUUUUGUUCUCGAUCAACCUGUCAAAUUUGAGCCCAUUCCGGCACAGUCGCGAAAAAUGACGAAAUUGCCCCCGGCACGAUUUUUGUUUCCGAUCAACCUGUCAUAUUUUAGCCAAUUCUGACACAGUCGCGAGAAAUGACGAAAUUGUC
RNAcentral lists this long non-coding RNA (239 nucleotides) under Olea europaea (common olive). Its description in RNAcentral is "long non-coding RNA (OEUR_LNC013484)". The record is from RNAcentral. Lineage: Eukaryota; Viridiplantae; Streptophyta; Magnoliopsida; Lamiales; Oleaceae.